Pelobates cultripes (western spadefoot toad) is the source of this 978-nucleotide non-coding RNA. The record is from the annotation of a GenBank genome assembly. Lineage: Eukaryota; Metazoa; Chordata; Amphibia; Anura; Pelobatidae.
AGCAUUUCAGUUAUUUACAGAUUAGCAGUAUUUAAUUAUUAUUUUUUUCUUUUAAGAAAUGUAGCAUUCUACAGGAGAGACCUAGAUGAAAUCAAUCUGGGUGUCUUUGCAGGGUGUAGGAGAAAGUGGCAGUUUGGACUCAUCUCAAAGGACGGGAUAGGCCACAACAAGGACAUAAUGUAGGAUGAGGUCCUUGGGAACAUGAAAAAUGACAGACGCUUGAUUUCAGUAUGACUUUGAAUCUUCUUAGGUCUUUCCUCAAAGUCUUUGGUGGGGAUGAAAGAUCUGCAAUGAAGUGUUCCUUGCUUUACUAGGCUCUGUAAUCUUCUCUCUUACUCUUCUUGAGACGCAAUACUUGCAUGGUUGGCCCAGGUUGACAAAAUGGCGUGAGGAAUACCCCCAAAAGUAUCUAGAGAGUAAUGACCGCUUAGUAAGACCAUAUAUAUGUUCAGAAAUUCUCUGUCAAGACACCACAAAGCAUAGUCUUCCGACUAUCGCAAUACUCAUGGAGAAGAUGAAUUGUUCUCAAAGUGAGCCAAGACAGGUUUUAACUUCUCUAUUUGCACAACUCUUUCUGGCAAUGAUGGGUUUAAGAUAUCCGAAACAGUCAGGCAAAGAGUUAUGUGGAGGUCAGGUCGUACACUAAACUGUUCAAUAUUGAGGUGUUGGACCACGACAAUAUUUUUUAUUUUAUAUAUUUUAUUUUUAGAAAAACAAUCUGUAUUGUAUGUAGUCUUUCACCAAAUUAUUGAAUGUAUCCCUUCCAAGACAAUGUUUAAUUUAUGUGACUACAGCUGAAAUUGCCCUCAUGGGAGGUAGUACCCUUCACUAUAGUAAUUGCUAAAUAAAAAGUACUACAUCUUAUAAAGUUGUUUCAGAUGCUUGAAUAUUAUCCUGCAAAUUAGGAAUCCUCUUUCUUUCUGCAAAAGAAGUCCAACAACAAUUCUUACUAUAUUUGAUUAGAUCCAAAUAAAUCAC